AUACGUAGGUGGCGAGCGUUGUCCGGAAUUACUGGGCGUAAAGGAUGCGUAGGUGGAUACUUAAGUGGGAUGUGAAAUCCCCGGGCUCAACCCGGGAACUGCAUUCCAAACUGGGUAUCUAGAGUGCAGGAGAGGAAAGCGGAAUUCCUAGUGUAGCGGUGAAAUGCGUAGAUAUUAGGAGGAACACCAGUGGCGAAGGCGGCUUUCUGGACUGAAACUGACACUGAGGCAUGAAAGCGUGGGUAGCAAACAGGAUUAGAUCCCCUGGUAGUCCACGCUGUAAACGAUGGGUACUAGGUGUAGGAGGUAUCGACCCCUUCUGUGCCGUCGUUAACGCAAUAAGUACCCCGCCUGGGGAGUACGGUCGCAAGACUAAAACUCAAAGGAAUUGACGGGG
RNAcentral lists this ribosomal RNA (397 nucleotides) under uncultured bacterium. RNAcentral describes it as "partial 16S ribosomal RNA". It matches the Rfam family "Bacterial small subunit ribosomal RNA", at positions 523 to 918 of the family's 1533-position model. The record is from RNAcentral.